AAAUUGAAGAGUUUGAUCAUGGCUCAGAUUGAACGCUGGCGGCAGGCCUAACACAUGCAAGUCGAGCGGCAGCGGGAAAGUAGCUUGCUACUUUUGCCGGCGAGCGGCGGACGGGUGAGUAAUGCCUGGGGAUCUGCCCAGUCGAGGGGGAUAACAGUUGGAAACGACUGCUAAUACCGCAUACGCCCUACGGGGGAAAGGAGGGGACCUUCGGGCCUUUCGCGAUUGGAUG
RNAcentral lists this ribosomal RNA (232 nucleotides) under Aeromonas salmonicida subsp. salmonicida. RNAcentral's name for it is "partial 16S ribosomal RNA". It matches the Rfam family "Bacterial small subunit ribosomal RNA", at positions 1 to 227 of the family's 1533-position model. Lineage: Bacteria; Pseudomonadati; Pseudomonadota; Gammaproteobacteria; Aeromonadales; Aeromonadaceae. The record is from RNAcentral.